ACGCUGGCGGCAUGCUUUACACAUGCAAGUCGGACGGCAGCACAGAGAAGCUUGCUUCUUGGGUGGCGAGUGGCGAACGGGUGAGUAAUAUAUCGGAACGUACCGAGUAAUGGGGGAUAACUAAUCGAAAGAUUAGCUAAUACCGCAUAUUCUCUGAGGAGGAAAGCAGGGGACCUUCGGGCCUUGCGUUAUUCGAGCGGCCGAUAUCUGAUUAGCUAGUUGGUGGGGUAAAGGCCCACCAAGGCGACGAUCAGUAGCGGGUCUGAGAGGAUGAUCCGCCACACUGGGACUGAGACACGGCCCAGACUCCUACGGGAGGCAGCAGUGGGGAAUUUUGGACAAUGGGCGCAAGCCUGAUCCAGCCAUGCCGCGUGUCUGAAGAAGGCCUUCGGGUUGUAAAGGACUUUUGUCAGGGAAGAAAAGGCUGUUGCUAAUACCGACAGCUGAUGACGGUACCUGAAGAAUAAGCACCGGCUAACUACGUGCCAGCAGCCGCGGUAAUACGUAGGGUGCGAGCGUUAAUCGGAAUUACUGGGCGUAAAGCGAGCGCAGACGGUUACUUAAGCAGGAUGUGAAAUCCCCGGGCUCAACCUGGGAACUGCGUUCUGAACUGGGUGACUAGAGUGUGUCAGAGGGAGGUAGAAUUCCACGUGUAGCAGUGAAAUGCGUAGAGACGUGGAGGAAUACCGAUGGCGAAGGCAGCCUCCUGGGAUAACACUGACGUUCAUGCUCGAAAGCGUGGGUAGCAAACAGGAUUAGAUACCCUGGUAGUCCACGCCCUAAACGAUGUCAAUUAGCUGUUGGGCAACUUGAUUGCUUAGUAGCGUAGCUAACGCGUGAAAUUGACCGCCUGGGGAGUACGGUCGCAAGAUUAAAACUCAAAGGAAUUGACGGGGACCCGCACAAGCGGUGGAUGAUGU
RNAcentral lists this ribosomal RNA (920 nucleotides) under uncultured bacterium. RNAcentral describes it as "bacterial SSU rRNA". It matches the Rfam family "Bacterial small subunit ribosomal RNA", at positions 33 to 942 of the family's 1533-position model. The record is from RNAcentral.